ACGUAGGGUGCGAGCGUUAAUCGGAAUUACUGGGCGUAAAGCGUGCGCAGGCGGUUUUAUAAGCCAGAUGUGAAAGCCCCGGGCUCAACCUGGGAAUGGCAUUUGGGACUGUAAGGCUGGAGUAUGGCAGAGGAGACUAGAAUUCCUGGUGUAGCAGUGAAAUGCGUAGAUAUCAGGAGGAAUACCGAUGGCGAAGGCAGGUCUCUGGGCCAAUACUGACGCUCAUGCACGAAAGCGUGGGGAGCAAACAGGAUUAGAUACCCUGGUAGUCCACGCCCUAAACGAUGUCAACUGGUUGUUGGGGGAUUUAUUCUCUUAGUAACGAAGCUAACGCGUGAAGUUGACCGCCUGGGGAGUACGGUCGCAAGAUUA
Molecule: ribosomal RNA, 372 nt
Filed under: uncultured bacterium
Lineage: Bacteria
Description: bacterial SSU rRNA
Rfam family: Bacterial small subunit ribosomal RNA
Source: RNAcentral